UUGGUAGUGUACAAAUGGUAGUGCACACUACCAAAUGUAUAAGUACUUAACAAUUAGGUAGUGUACAUUACUAGUUGGUAGUGUGCAAAUGGUAGUGCACACUACCAAAUGAAUAAGUACUUAACAACUAGGUAGUGUGCAAAUGGUAGUGCACACUACCAAAUGAAUAAGUACUUAACAACUAGGUAGUGUACACGACCUCAGCUAGGUAGUGUACACGACCUCAACUAGGUAGUGUACACUAUCAUUUUUGAAAGUAGUUUACAACAAUUUAAAAAAUUACAACAUUAUAACAUUGUCUAUGAACGGCAUUAAAUAUAUUUCAUACAUGUAUUGACUUAUAAUUGCAACAACUAUAAAAAUGCCCAAUCAUCAUACUCUGUUUCAAAAAAUUUCAACAUUGAAUUUUUUCAUGUUCGAAAUGUUUAACUUUGAUAUUUUUUCUAUUUUUUUGCCAUGGUAAAUAGUAAGUAGCUGAUUGAUUUUUGGAGCAAAUAUGUAACAAUGUUUUGUUGUUAUUAAACAUAUUGUAAAAUAUUGGGGCAUUUAUUCAUUUAUUUAUUAAAAUAAUAAGAUGCGAAGUGUCAUGCACUAUUGCAUCAUUUUUUUUUAUAAAAAUCAAUUAAUAUUUUUACAAAUAUCUCUAAUCUCUAAUAUACGUAGAUUAAUAUUGUUUUUGGAAAAAGAUAAAAUAUUUGAACAAGUUCUGGUUUCCUAAAAACGAAAUGAAUAUUUUAUCGUUUUUGAUUUCAUAUAUGUUGAAAUUAAAGACGUGACUUUUGUCCCAUUUAAAUCCAAGAGUAUGAAUCUGAAUUGAUUAAUGAUAACGACAAAUGUCUUUUCGUUUAGUAUUUGAGUCUUAGAUCGAAUUCAAUAUCGGCUAGAUUUCAAUCAAAGAGAACCAGAUAAGUUAUGUUUUUAAAUCAUGCUAACAACUGAUUUUUUCUUUACUAUGUGUUGUAGAUUGAUUGUUCAAUAAUUAUUUGAACUGUUUGUUUUGUGUAUUUCAAUACGAACGUGUUAAGUAUAAUAUAACUAUUUUUAUUUUACUAUUAAAAAUUCUUCCUAUUUUCAAGUCAUAAUCAGAUUUCCGUCGAUGUUGAUGCAUUGAAUCUCAACCAAUUUCAAUUUAUCAAUGACCACGGAAAUCAAAUCACGUUUGAAUCAUCGAUACAAACACAGAUAUAGGGGUAAAUAAAGUUUAUUUAAAAAAAACAAACAGUAUAAUGCCAUGUAGUCAAAUCUCUCAAUGCCGCUGAUAUGAUUCGGAUUGCCAUAUUAACAUAUUUUUGGGAUUUGUAAACUCGGACAUUGUGUUGAAAACAUUUAGAACUUGGAGAACGGAACAAUAUAUCUUUUCUAUUGGACAACAAAAAUUCAUACCAUAAAAUGUUGGAUUUUGGAUCAGCAUAAUACAAUUUGUGCAUUAUCAUGAUAUUUUGUUUUUAAAAAUAAUUUAUACUUCAUU
Long non-coding RNA from Dermatophagoides farinae (American house dust mite), 1468 nucleotides. RefSeq lists it as uncharacterized. The record is from RefSeq and is a predicted model, not a curated record. NCBI's taxonomy places the organism in Eukaryota, Metazoa, Arthropoda, Arachnida, Sarcoptiformes, Pyroglyphidae.